CCAACUGCUAUUUGGGUGAGGAUAAGCCAUGCGAGUUGAAUGGGAAACCUAAAGUUCCCAUGGCAAACUGCUCAGUAACACAUGAUCAACUUACCCUAUAGAGAAAAAUAACCUCGGGAAACUGAGGAUAAUGUUUCAUAGUUGAAUUGGCUUGGAAAAGUUUUUCGACGAAAGGGGUAAAAAAAAUGGUUUUUAUCUGCUAUAGGAUAGGAUCGUGUUCGAUUAUGGUUGUUGGUGAGGUAAUGGCUCACCAAGCCGAUAAUCGAUAGGGGCCGUGAGAGCGGGAGCCCCGAGAUGGGUACUGAGACAACGACCCAGGCCUUACGAGGCGCAGCAGGCGCGAAACCUCCGCAAUACACGAAAGUGUGACGGGGUUACCCAAAGUGUUCAAUAGAACUGUGGUAGGUGAGUAAUGUUCCCUACUAGAAAGGAGAGGGCAAGGCUGGUGCCAGCCGCCGCGGUAAAACCAGCUCUUCAAGUGGUCGGGAUAAUUAUUGGGCUUAAAGUGUCCGUAGCCGGUUUAGUAAGUUCCUGGUAAAAUCGGGUAGCUUAACUAUCUAUAUGCUAGGAAUACUACUAUACUAGAGGGCGGGAGAGGUCUGAGGUACUGCAGGGGUAGGGGUGAAAUCUUAUAAUCCUUGUUGGACCACCAGUGGCGAAGGCGUCAGACUGGAACGCGCCUGACGGUGAGGGACGAAAGCCAGGGGAGCGAACCGGAUUAGAUACCCGGGUAGUCCUGGCCGUAAACGAUGCAUACUAGGUGAUGGCACGGCCAUGAGCCGUGUCAGUGCCGUAGGGAAACCGUUAAGUGUGCCGCCUGGGAAGUACGGUCGCAAGGCUAAAACUUAAAGGAAUUGGCGGGGGAGCACCACAAGGGGUGAAGCCUGCGGUUCAAUUGGAUUCAACGCCGGA
Molecule: ribosomal RNA, 912 nt
Filed under: uncultured archaeon
Lineage: Archaea
Description: bacterial SSU rRNA
Rfam family: Archaeal small subunit ribosomal RNA
Source: RNAcentral